RNAcentral lists this transfer RNA (56 nucleotides) under Camelus bactrianus (Bactrian camel). It matches the Rfam family "tRNA", at positions 9 to 63 of the family's 71-position model. From Rfam's summary of the family: Transfer RNA (tRNA) molecules are approximately 80 nucleotides in length. Their secondary structure includes four short double-helical elements and three loops (D, anti-codon, and T loops). Lineage: Eukaryota; Metazoa; Chordata; Mammalia; Artiodactyla; Camelidae. The record is from Rfam by way of RNAcentral. RNAcentral also lists the same sequence under 2 other names.
AGCUCAGUGGCAGAGCACAUGCUUAACAUGCAUGAGGUCCUGGGUUCAAUCCCUAG